AGGACCUUAGCUCAGAGGUAGAGCGGUGGUCUCCAAAGCCGCGCGUCGGGGGUUCGAGUCCCUCAGGUCCUG
Molecule: transfer RNA, 72 nt
Filed under: Candidatus Peribacteria bacterium
Lineage: Bacteria; Candidatus Peregrinibacteriota; Candidatus Peribacteria
Also listed under: 1 other name
Description: tRNA-Trp
Rfam family: tRNA
About the family: Transfer RNA (tRNA) molecules are approximately 80 nucleotides in length. Their secondary structure includes four short double-helical elements and three loops (D, anti-codon, and T loops).
Source: RNAcentral